This 468-nucleotide ribosomal RNA is filed under the name uncultured bacterium. RNAcentral describes it as "partial 16S ribosomal RNA". It matches the Rfam family "Bacterial small subunit ribosomal RNA", at positions 28 to 507 of the family's 1533-position model. The record is from RNAcentral.
GACGAACGCUGGCGGCGUGCUUAACACAUGCAAGUCGAACGGAAAUGCCCUGCUUUUGUGGGGUGCUCGAGUGGCGAACGGGUGAGUAACACGUGAGUAACCUGCCCUUGACUUUGGGAUAACUUCAGGAAACUGCCUCUAAUACCGCAUAUGAGCUCCUGCUGCAUUUUGGGGGUUGGAAAGUUUCGGCGGUUGGGGAUCGACUCGCUGCUUAUCAGCUUGUUGGUGGGGUAGUGGCUUACCAAGGCUUUGACGGGUAGCCGGCCUGAGAGGGUGACCGGCCACAAUGGGACUGAGAUACGGCCCAGACGGCUACGGGAGGCAGCAGUGGGGAAUAUUGCAAAAUGGGAGGAAGCCUGAUGAAGCAACGCCGGGUGAGGGAUGAGGGCGUUGGGGUUGUAAACCGAUUUGGCCUGUGACGAAGCGAGAGUGACGGUAAUGGGUAAAGAAGCAACGGCUAACUACGUG